GACGAACGUUGGCGGCGUGCUUAAUACAUGCAAGUCAACUGAAGCAGUGGUAGCAAUAUCGCUGUGGAGGUGGCGCACGGGUGAGUAACACGUAGGUAAUCUGCCUUCAGGUCUGGCAUAACUCUGGGAAACCGGGGCUAAUAGCAGAUGAUGCAGCGGCUCGACAUCGAGACAGUUGUUAAAGCUAUGGCGCCUGAAGAUGAGCCUGCGUCUGAUUAGCUAGUUGGCGGGGUAACGGCCCACCAAGGCAACGAUCAGUAGCUGGUCUGAGAGGAUGAUCAGCCACACUGGAACUGAGACACGGUCCAGACUCCUACGGGAGGCAGCAGUAAGGAAUAUUGCUCAAUGGGAGAAAUCCUGAAGCAGCAACGCAGCGUGAGGGACGAAGGGCUUUUGCUUGUAAACCUCUGUAGUGAGAGAAAAAAAUCCCAAUCUUUGGGACAUGAUGGUAUCUCAAAAGUAAGCCCCGGCUAACUACGUG
RNAcentral lists this ribosomal RNA (481 nucleotides) under uncultured bacterium. Its description in RNAcentral is "partial 16S ribosomal RNA". It matches the Rfam family "Bacterial small subunit ribosomal RNA", at positions 28 to 507 of the family's 1533-position model. The record is from RNAcentral.